Molecule: ribosomal RNA, 395 nt
Filed under: uncultured Gardnerella sp.
Lineage: Bacteria; Bacillati; Actinomycetota; Actinomycetes; Bifidobacteriales; Bifidobacteriaceae
Description: bacterial SSU rRNA
Rfam family: Bacterial small subunit ribosomal RNA
Source: RNAcentral
CCACCUGCCCCAUGCUCCAGAAUAGCUCUUGGAAACGGGUGGUAAUGCUGGAUGCUCAACUUGACGCAUGUCUUUGUUGGGAAAGUGUUUAGUGGGCAUGGGAUGGGGUCGCGUCCUAUCAGCUUGUAGGCGGGGUAAUGGCCCACCUAGGCUUCGACGGGUAGCCGGCCUGAGAGGGCGGACGGCCACAUUGGGACUGAGAUACGGCCCAGACUCCUACGGGGAGGCAGCAGUGGGGAAUAUUGCGCAAUGGGGGAAACCCUGACGCAGCGACGCCGCGUGCGGGAUGAAGGCCUUCGGGUUGUAAACCGCUUUUGAUUGGGAGCAAGCCUUUUGGGUGAGUGUACCUUUCGAAUAAGCGCCGGGCUAACUACGUGCCAGCAGCCGCGGUAAAU